GGAUUAGAUACCCUGGUAGUCCACGCCGUAAACGAUGAGAACUAGGUGUAGCGGGUAUUGACCCCUGCUGUGCCGAAGUUAACGCAUUAAGUUCUCCGCCUGGGGAGUACGGCCGCAAGGCUAAAACUCAAAGGAAUUGACGGGGACCCGCACAAGCGGUGGAGCAUGUGGUUUAAUUCGACGCAACGCGAAGAACCUUACCUGGAUUUGACAUCCUCUGACAGCCUCAGAAAUGAGGUUUGUCCGACUUGUCGGAACAGAGUGACAGGUGCUGCAUGGCUGUCGUCAGCUCGUGCCG
This 298-nucleotide ribosomal RNA is filed under the name uncultured bacterium. RNAcentral describes it as "partial 16S ribosomal RNA". It matches the Rfam family "Bacterial small subunit ribosomal RNA", at positions 775 to 1067 of the family's 1533-position model. The record is from RNAcentral.